This is a non-coding RNA of Podarcis lilfordi (Lilford's wall lizard), 69 nucleotides long. The record is from the annotation of a GenBank genome assembly. Lineage: Eukaryota; Metazoa; Chordata; Lepidosauria; Squamata; Lacertidae.
GGAUAGCUCAGUCGGUAGAGUUUAAGACACUUAAUCUCAGGAUUGUGGGUUCGAGCCCCAUGUUGAGCA